Molecule: long non-coding RNA, 858 nt
Organism: Tympanuchus pallidicinctus (lesser prairie-chicken)
Lineage: Eukaryota; Metazoa; Chordata; Aves; Galliformes; Phasianidae
Exons: 3
Source: RefSeq, a predicted model, not a curated record
GCUCCUGAGUCUCUGCGCCAAGGUACGUGGAUCCCUGCCGUCUCCUGUUUCACACGCUCGCUCAGGUCCUUUGGGGCUUGGUGUCGCUUGUCCCUCGUGCUCCCGUUGCUGUCACCGCGUGUUGUUCCUUUCCCCAUGCUCAGCUCUGCCCAGUGCUGAUGGGAUGCCAGUGCCACCUGCUGCUCUUAAGAAAAGGUAGGUUUGAUUUCUUUUGGUUUCCAUAGCAUUUGCUACACUUUCAUUCUGUCUCUCUUCUUUUUUUUUUUUUUUUUUUCUUUUUGCUCUCAAUAAAUGGCAGGUUCAAUUCCUUUUGGCUCCUGUAGUAUUUGCUACACGUGUGUUCUGUUUCUCUUCUCUUUUUUCCAUGUUGCCUGGCGGUGCCUCGCUGGAGUUCCCAUGAGCCCCGGGCCCACUUGUGAUCAAGUGAGGUGCCAAAAAAAGAGGUGUCUCCUAAACAGGCUUCUGCUGAGUGCUGUCCUCGUCUUGGGCUUUGUCCAAUGCCCACCUUUCUUUUCUAACCCACUUUGUUGAGGACGGCGUGUGAGGCUUUCUUCUUUCUUUGUAGGAUUGGGGACUCCACCACCAGAAGUAGCAGGCAUUUUGGGAUGUCCAAGGUUCUGCAGUGAACGUGUCCUGUUCCUGAUAAAGGUGUGGGCGUUCCUGGACACGAAGGUAUCUAUCUUCAUGCCUUGCCCAUGUGCCCAGUUCCCCACCAGAUGCUGUUUGCCUUUUGGCCCCCCUGAUUUGCUGCACUGCUGCGCCCUGAUCCUUGCAGAGGGCCUCUCAUUGGUCACCGGCAGUGCCGUCCCGCCCUCGGCAGCCUGUGAUUGCUCACCGGCAGCGCCGUCCCGCCCUCAU